Molecule: ribosomal RNA, 338 nt
Filed under: uncultured Lactobacillus sp.
Lineage: Bacteria; Bacillati; Bacillota; Bacilli; Lactobacillales; Lactobacillaceae
Description: bacterial SSU rRNA
Rfam family: Bacterial small subunit ribosomal RNA
Source: RNAcentral
GGUUCUGCUAUCACUCUUGGAUGGGACCUGCGGUGCAUUAGCUAGUUGGGUAGGGGUAAACGGGCCUACCAAGGCGAUGAUGCAUAGCCCGAGUUGAGAGACUGAUCGGCCACAUUGGGACUGAGACACGGCCCAAACUCCGUACGGGAGGCAGCAGUAGGGAAUCUUCCACAAUGGACGCAAGUCUGAUGGAGCAACGCCGCGUGAGUGAAGUAAGGGUUUCGGCUCGUAAAGCUCUGUUGUUGGUGAAGAAGGACAGGGGGUAGUAACUGACCUUUGUUUGACGGUAAUCAAUUAGAAAGUCACGGGCUAACUACGUGCCAGCAGCCGCGGUAAAU